GAAAUGCGAUAAGUAGUGUGAAUUGCAGAAUUCAGUGAAUCAUCGAAUCUUUGAACGCACAUUGCGCCCUUUGGUAUUCCUUAGGGCAUGCCUGUUCGAGCGUCAUCUAAACCUUCAAGCCCUGCUUGGUGUUGGGUGCCUGUCCCGCCUCCGCGCGCGGACUCACCACAAAUCCAUUGGCGGCCCCCGCGUCGGCCACGAGCGCAGCAGAAACGCGAACUCGUGAGCCCGUCCGGGCGGCUCCCAGAAGCUACACCCACCCAGUUUGACCUCGGAUCAGGUAGGGAUACCCGCUGAACUUAAGC
This 305-nucleotide unclassified non-coding RNA is filed under the name plant metagenome. RNAcentral's name for it is "partial contains 5.8S ribosomal RNA, internal transcribed spacer 2, and large subunit ribosomal RNA". The stretch from base 1 to 105 matches the Rfam family "5.8S ribosomal RNA", at positions 50 to 154 of the family's 154-position model. The record is from RNAcentral.